GACGAACGCUGGCGGCGUGCUUAACACAUGCAAGUCGAACGGAAAGGCCCUGCUUUUGUGUGGUGCUCGAGUGGCGAACGGGUGAGUAACACGUGAGUAACCUGCCCUUGACUUUGGGAUAACUUCAGGCAACUGGUGCUAAUACCGGCUAGGAGCUCCUGCUGCAUGGUGGGGGUUGGAAAGUUUCGGCGGUUGGGGAUGUACUCGCGGCUUAUCAGCUUGUUGGUGGGGUGGUGGCUUACCAAGGCUUUGACGGGUAGCCGGCCUGAGAGGGUGACCGGCGACAUUGGGACUGAGAUGCGGCCGAGACUCCUACGGGAGGCAGCAGUGGGGAAUAUUGCACAAUGGGCGGAAGCCGGAUGCAGCAACGCCGCGUGCGGGAUAACGGCCUUAGGGUUGUAAACCGCUUGCGCCUGUGACGAAGCGUGAGUGACGGUAAUGGGUAGAGAAGCGCCGGCUAACUACGUG
This 468-nucleotide ribosomal RNA is filed under the name uncultured bacterium. Its description in RNAcentral is "partial 16S ribosomal RNA". It matches the Rfam family "Bacterial small subunit ribosomal RNA", at positions 28 to 507 of the family's 1533-position model. The record is from RNAcentral.